GGGGAAUAUUGGACAAUGGGCGCAAGCCUGAUCCAGCCAUGCCGCGUGGGUGAAGAAGGCCUUCGGGUUGUAAAGCCCUUUUGUUGGGAAUAAACCACCGUACGUGUACGGGGCUGAAGGUACCUGAAGAAUAAGCAUCGGCUAACUCCGUGCCAGCAGCCGCGGUAAUACGGAGGAUGCAAGCGUUAUCCGGAUUCAUUGGGUUUAAAGGGUGCGCAGGCGGAUUGAUAAGUCAGGGGUGAAAUCCCACAGCUCAACUGUGGAACUGCCUUUGAUACUGUUAGUCUUGAGUAUAGUUGAAGUGGGCGGAAUGUGUCAUGUAGCGGUGAAAUGCUUAGAUAUGACACAGAACACCGAUCGCGAAGGCAGCUCGCUAAGCUAUAACUGACGCUCAUGCACGAAAGCGUGGGGAUCAAACA
This 419-nucleotide ribosomal RNA is filed under the name uncultured Bacteroidota bacterium. RNAcentral's name for it is "bacterial SSU rRNA". It matches the Rfam family "Bacterial small subunit ribosomal RNA", at positions 356 to 774 of the family's 1533-position model. The record is from RNAcentral. Lineage: Bacteria; Pseudomonadati; Bacteroidota.